Molecule: unclassified non-coding RNA, 206 nt
Filed under: Hevea brasiliensis (rubber tree)
Lineage: Eukaryota; Viridiplantae; Streptophyta; Magnoliopsida; Malpighiales; Euphorbiaceae
Source: RNAcentral
CGAUGUCGAAGGAUAACGAACCAGCAAAGCUCCUAUUACCUUACCUUCAACGCGCUGAUGAGUUGCAGAAACAUGAACCUCUCGUUGCCUACUACUGUCGAUUGUAUGCUAUGGAGCGAGGAUUGAGGAUUCCUCAAAAUGAGCGUACAAAAACCACUAGUUCCAUCCUUGUUUCGCUUAUAAAUCAACUUGAAAAGGAUAAGAAG